GGGGCUGCAUAUACUGCAAGUCGAGCGAGCUUGCCUAGAUGAUUUUAGUGCUUGCACUAAAUGAAACUAGAUACAAGCGAGCGGCGGACGGGUGAGUAACACGUGGGUAACCUGCCCAAGAGACUGGGAUAACACCUGGAAACAGAUGCUAAUACCGGAUAACAACACUAGACGCAUGUCUAGAGUUUGAAAGAUGGUUCUGCUAUCCCUCUUGGAUGGACCUGCGGUGCAUUAGCUAGUUGGUAAGGUAACGGCUUACCAAGGCAAUGAUGCAUAGCCGAGUUGAGAGACUGAUCGGCCACAUUGGGACUGAGACACGGCCCAAACUCCUACGGGAGGCAGCAGUAGGGAAUCUUCCACAAUGGACGAAAGUCUGAUGGAGCAACGCCGCGUGAGUGAAGAAGGGUUUCGGCUCGUAAAGCUCUGUUGGUAGUGAAGAAAGAUAGAGGUAGUAACUGGCCUUUAUUUGACGGUAAUUACUUAGAAAGUCACGGCUAACUACGUGCCAGCAGCCGCGGUAAUACGUAGGCGGCAAGCGUUGUCCGGAUUUAUUGGGCGUAAAGCGAGUGCAGGCGGUUCAAUAAGUCUGAUGUGAAAGCCUUCGGCUCAACCGGAGAAUUGCAUCAGAAACUGUUGAACUUGAGUGCAGAAGAGGAGAGUGGAACUCCAUGUGUAGCGGUGGAAUGCGUAGAUAUAUGGA
This 700-nucleotide ribosomal RNA is filed under the name uncultured bacterium. RNAcentral's name for it is "bacterial SSU rRNA". It matches the Rfam family "Bacterial small subunit ribosomal RNA", at positions 41 to 702 of the family's 1533-position model. The record is from RNAcentral.